This 844-nucleotide long non-coding RNA is filed under the name Sus scrofa (pig). Its description in RNAcentral is "lncRNA (ENSSSCG00000044892.2, ENSSSCG00050069387.1)". Lineage: Eukaryota; Metazoa; Chordata; Mammalia; Artiodactyla; Suidae. The record is from RNAcentral.
GAGGAGGACGGGAGGCACCCCCGGUCCAGCAGGCAGCGGGCGGUCCCCCGGGCCCACCCAGCACUCCAAGGCCAGCCAGCUUGGCUCCAGCAGGGCGGGCCCCACAUCCGCCUGCCCCACCUGCAAGCGUCAGGGACCCCGACCCCGCGGCUCCUCCGGCCGCUCUUGAGAAAGGCAGAGGGCCUGGGGCAGCCAGCCUGGCCAAGCCUCGGUCCCCAGAGGGCCUGUCAGCUCUCACCCGAUAACCUGUCUGAGUCACUCCAUGACUGUCAUUCUGUCUCCUCUUCGCAAGUCGGCCUCGGCACCUCACGGCCCGUGGACAAACCUGGAAGCCCUUGCCUGGCCGUCGUUGGAGCCACGUGGCCCCAGGAGCGCCCGGGCUCAGCCCAGCCAAGACGUCCCCGAGCCUGGCUCAAGCUGCACACCGCCCACCUCCGCGUCCCCACACUCCCCCCCACCCCACCCCCGAGGGUGUCUUGCCCUGAGACCUGGGUGGGACCUCUCGUGUUCAGUGUCCAGAACUGGGCCUGGCUCACUGGGGAGAGAGCAAGGCGAACGCACGCAGACACACAGGCCUGACAAAGGCUCACAGCUGUUGACAGAAAGAGCCCGGGACACACCUAGAGGCGGCAGGAGAGACUUCACGCAGGCCCCUGCAGUGGGGAGAGACCCCACAAGGACUCCAGGGUUUAAAGGGAGAGCAGGAGUCUCCCGGUGGCUCAGCCAGUUAAGCAUCUGAGGCUGUCACUGCUGUGGCACAGUUUCGAUCCCUGGCUCAGAACUUCUUCAUGCCUCGAGUGCGGCCAAACAAUAAAUAAAUAAAGGGAUGACGUUUUCGUUGUGG